RNAcentral lists this ribosomal RNA (468 nucleotides) under uncultured bacterium. Its description in RNAcentral is "partial 16S ribosomal RNA". It matches the Rfam family "Bacterial small subunit ribosomal RNA", at positions 28 to 507 of the family's 1533-position model. The record is from RNAcentral.
GACGAACGCUGGCGGCGUGCUUAACACAUGCAAGUCGAACGGAAAGGCCCUGCUUUUGUGGGGUGCUCGAGUGGCGAACGGGUGAGUAACACGUGAGUAACCUGCCCUUGACUUUGGGAUAACUUCAGGAAACUGGGGCUAAUACCGGAUAGGAGCUCCUGCUGCAUGGUGGGGGUUGGAAAGUUUCGGCGGUUGGGGAUGGACUCGCGGCUUAUCAGCUUGUUGGUGGGGUAGUGGCUUACCAAGGCUUUGACGGGUAGCCGGCAUGAGAGGGUGACCGGCCACAAUGGGACUGAGAGACGGCCCAGACUACUACGGGAGGCAGCAGUGGGGAAUAUGGCACAAUGGGCGGGAGCCUGAUGCAGCAACGCCGCGUGAGGGAUGACGGCCUUCGGGUUGUAAACCGCUUUCGCCUGUGACGAAGCGUGAGUGACGGUAAUGGGUGAAGAAGCACCGGCUAACUACGUG